RNAcentral lists this ribosomal RNA (253 nucleotides) under uncultured bacterium. Its description in RNAcentral is "partial 16S ribosomal RNA". It matches the Rfam family "Bacterial small subunit ribosomal RNA", at positions 524 to 776 of the family's 1533-position model. The record is from RNAcentral.
GACAGAGGUCCCGAGCGUUAGGCGGAAUCACUGGGCUUAAAGCGUGUGUAGGCGGAUCUGUAAGUACCUUGUGAAAUCCCACGGCUUAACCGUGGAACUGCUCGGUAUACUGCGGAUCUUGAGCCACCUAGGGGCAGCCGGAACAAACGGUGGAGCGGUGAAAUGCGUAGAUAUCGUUUGGAACGCCAAUGGUGAAAACAGGUUGCUGGGGGUGUGCUGACGCUGAGACACGAAAGCCAGGGGAGCAAACGGG